GACGAACGCUGGCGGCGUGCUUAACACAUGCAAGUCGAACGAAGUGGCGAACGGGUGAGUAACGCGUAAUCAACCUGCCCUUCAGAGGGGGACAACAGUUGGAAACGACUGCUAAUACCGCAUACUGAAGGCGGGGAUUGCGUCGGAUUAGCUCGUUGGAGGGGUAACGGCACACAAAGGGGAUGAUCAGUAGCAGGUCUGUGAGGCUGAAUGGCCCCCUUGGGACUGAGACACGGCCCAGACUCCUAAGGGAGGAAGCAGUGGGGAAUCGUUCGCAAUGGACGAAAGUCUGACGGAGCAACUCCGCGUGGGUGAUGACGGCCUGCGGGUUGGCAAGCUCUGUUAAUCGGGACGCGUUACCGGAAUAGAAAGCCACGGCUAACUACGUGCCAGCCGCGGCGGUAAUAC
This 408-nucleotide ribosomal RNA is filed under the name uncultured bacterium. Its description in RNAcentral is "partial 16S ribosomal RNA". It matches the Rfam family "Bacterial small subunit ribosomal RNA", at positions 28 to 526 of the family's 1533-position model. The record is from RNAcentral.